GCAGACAUCUGCUCCAAAAGGGUGUG
RNAcentral lists this unclassified non-coding RNA (26 nucleotides) under Mus musculus (house mouse). RNAcentral describes it as "oocyte_clustered_small_RNA11209". The record is from RNAcentral. Lineage: Eukaryota; Metazoa; Chordata; Mammalia; Rodentia; Muridae.